GGGUCAGUAGCUCAGCGGGUAAGAGCAGCGGUCUCAUACGCCGCGCGCGGAGGUUCGAGUCCUCCCUGACCUA
RNAcentral lists this transfer RNA (73 nucleotides) under Streptomyces roseoviolaceus. Its description in RNAcentral is "tRNA-Met". It matches the Rfam family "tRNA". From Rfam's summary of the family: Transfer RNA (tRNA) molecules are approximately 80 nucleotides in length. Their secondary structure includes four short double-helical elements and three loops (D, anti-codon, and T loops). RNAcentral also lists the same sequence under 1 other name. The record is from RNAcentral. Lineage: Bacteria; Bacillati; Actinomycetota; Actinomycetes; Kitasatosporales; Streptomycetaceae.